ACGCCUGUAGCUCAAUUGGUAGAGCGACGGUCUCCAAAAUCGUAGGCUGGGGGUUCGACUCCCUCCGGGCGUGCCA
RNAcentral lists this transfer RNA (76 nucleotides) under Tepiditoga spiralis. RNAcentral describes it as "Oceanotoga sp. sy52 tRNA-Trp". It matches the Rfam family "tRNA". From Rfam's summary of the family: Transfer RNA (tRNA) molecules are approximately 80 nucleotides in length. Their secondary structure includes four short double-helical elements and three loops (D, anti-codon, and T loops). Lineage: Bacteria; Thermotogati; Thermotogota; Thermotogae; Petrotogales; Petrotogaceae. The record is from RNAcentral.